RNAcentral lists this ribosomal RNA (3028 nucleotides) under Salmonella enterica subsp. enterica serovar Gaminara. Its description in RNAcentral is "bacterial LSU rRNA". It matches the Rfam family "Bacterial large subunit ribosomal RNA". Lineage: Bacteria; Pseudomonadati; Pseudomonadota; Gammaproteobacteria; Enterobacterales; Enterobacteriaceae. The record is from RNAcentral.
GGGUUGUGAGGUUAAGCGACUAAGCGUACACGGUGGAUGCCCUGGCAGUCAGAGGCGAUGAAGGGCGUGCUAAUCUGCGAUAAGCGCCGGUAAGGUGAUAUGAACCGUUAUAACCGGCGAUACCCGAAUGGGGAAACCCAGUGUGACUCGUCACACUAUCAUUAACUGAAUCCAUAGGUUAAUGAGGCGAACCGGGGGAACUGAAACAUCUAAGUACCCCGAGGAAAAGAAAUCAACCGAGAUUCCCCCAGUAGCGGCGAGCGAACGGGGAGGAGCCCAGAGCCUGAAUCAGCAUGUGUGUUAGUGGAAGCGUCUGGAAAGGCGCGCGAUACAGGGUGACAGCCCCGUACACAAAAGCGCAUGUGCUGUGAGCUCGAUGAGUAGGGCGGGACACGUGGUAUCCUGUCUGAAUAUGGGGGGACCAUCCUCCAAGGCUAAAUACUCCUGACUGACCGAUAGUGAACCAGUACCGUGAGGGAAAGGCGAAAAGAACCCCGGCGAGGGGAGUGAAAAAGAACCUGAAACCGUGUACGUACAAGCAGUGGGAGCCCCACCACCAAAGCAUUCUCUGGUGUUGAAGGCCCUGCAAAGCAGCAUCGCGGUGGCGGAGCGUCGUUUGCGACGCCCAACACACAAAACAAGCGGUGAGUGCUUUGGGGUGGGGUGACUGCGUACCUUUUGUAUAAUGGGUCAGCGACUUAUAUUCUGUAGCAAGGUUAACCGUAUAGGGGAGCCGGAGGGAAACCGAGUCUUAACCGGGCGUUAAGUUGCAGGGUAUAGACCCGAAACCCGGUGAUCUAGCCAUGGGCAGGUUGAAGGUUGGGUAACACUAACUGGAGGACCGAACCGACUAAUGUUGAAAAAUUAGCGGAUGACCUGUGGCUGGGGGUGAAAGGCCAAUCAAACCGGGAGAUAGCUGGUUCUCCCCGAAAGCUAUUUAGGUAGCGCCUCGUGAAUUCAUCUCCGGGGGUAGAGCACUGUUUCGGCUAGGGGGCCAUCCCGGCUUACCAACCCGAUGCAAACUGCGAAUACCGGAGAAUGUUAUCACGGGAGACACACGGCGGGUGCUAACGUCCGUCGUGAAGAGGGAAACAACCCAGACCGCCAGCUAAGGUCCCAAAGUCAUGGUUAAGUGGGAAACGAUGUGGGAAGGCCCAGACAGCCAGGAUGUUGGCUUAGAAGCAGCCAUCAUUUAAAGAAAGCGUAAUAGCUCACUGGUCGAGUCGGCCUGCGCGGAAGAUGUAACGGGGCUAAACCAUGCACCGAAGCUGCGGCAGCGACACUAUGUGUUGUUGGGUAGGGGAGCGUUCUGUAAGCCUGUGAAGGUGUGUCGUGAGGCAUGCUGGAGGUAUCAGAAGUGCGAAUGCUGACAUAAGUAACGAUAAAGCGGGUGAAAAGCCCGCUCGCCGGAAGACCAAGGGUUCCUGUCCAACGUUAAUCGGGGCAGGGUGAGUCGACCCCUAAGGCGAGGCCGAAAGGCGUAGUCGAUGGGAAACGGGUUAAUAUUCCCGUACUUGGUGUUACUGCGAAGGGGGGACGGAGAAGGCUAUGUUGGCCGGGCGACGGUUGUCCCGGUUUAAGCGUGUAGGUGUGUGUUCCAGGUAAAUCCGGUUCACUUUAACACUGAGGCGUGACGACGAGGCACUACGGUGCUGAAGCAACAAAUGCCCUGCUUCCAGGAAAAGCCUCUAAGCAUCAGGUAACAUCAAAUCGUACCCCAAACCGACACAGGUGGUCAGGUAGAGAAUACCAAGGCGCUUGAGAGAACUCGGGUGAAGGAACUAGGCAAAAUGGUGCCGUAACUUCGGGAGAAGGCACGCUGACACGUAGGUGAAGUGAUUUACUCAUGGAGCUGAAGUCAGUCGAAGAUACCAGCUGGCUGCAACUGUUUAUUAAAAACACAGCACUGUGCAAACACGAAAGUGGACGUAUACGGUGUGACGCCUGCCCGGUGCCGGAAGGUUAAUUGAUGGGGUCAGCGCAAGCGAAGCUCCUGAUCGAAGCCCCGGUAAACGGCGGCCGUAACUAUAACGGUCCUAAGGUAGCGAAAUUCCUUGUCGGGUAAGUUCCGACCUGCACGAAUGGCGUAAUGAUGGCCAGGCUGUCUCCACCCGAGACUCAGUGAAAUUGAACUCGCUGUGAAGAUGCAGUGUACCCGCGGCAAGACGGAAAGACCCCGUGAACCUUUACUAUAGCUUGACACUGAACAUUGAGCCUUGAUGUGUAGGAUAGGUGGGAGGCUUUGAAGUGUGGACGCCAGUCUGCAUGGAGCCGACCUUGAAAUACCACCCUUUAAUGUUUGAUGUUCUAACGUGGACCCGUAAUCCGGGUUGCGGACAGUGUCUGGUGGGUAGUUUGACUGGGGCGGUCUCCUCCUAAAGAGUAACGGAGGAGCACGAAGGUUGGCUAAUCCUGGUCGGACAUCAGGAGGUUAGUGCAAUGGCAUAAGCCAGCUUGACUGCGAGCGUGACGGCGCGAGCAGGUGCGAAAGCAGGUCAUAGUGAUCCGGUGGUUCUGAAUGGAAGGGCCAUCGCUCAACGGAUAAAAGGUACUCCGGGGAUAACAGGCUGAUACCGCCCAAGAGUUCAUAUCGACGGCGGUGUUUGGCACCUCGAUGUCGGCUCAUCACAUCCUGGGGCUGAAGUAGGUCCCAAGGGUAUGGCUGUUCGCCAUUUAAAGUGGUACGCGAGCUGGGUUUAGAACGUCGUGAGACAGUUCGGUCCCUAUCUGCCGUGGGCGCUGGAGAACUGAGGGGGGCUGCUCCUAGUACGAGAGGACCGGAGUGGACGCAUCACUGGUGUUCGGGUUGUCAUGCCAAUGGCACUGCCCGGUAGCUAAAUGCGGAAGAGAUAAGUGCUGAAAGCAUCUAAGCACGAAACUUGCCCCGAGAUGAGUUCUCCCUGAGACUUAGAGUCUCCUGAAGGAACGUUGAAGACGACGACGUUGAUAGGCCGGGUGUGUAAGCGCAGCGAUGCGUUGAGCUAACCGGUACUAAUGAACCGUGAGGCUUAACCUUACAACGCCGAAG